CAGCCGCCGCGGUAAUACGUAGGGUCCGAGCGUUGUCCGGAAUUAUUGGGCGUAAAGGGCUCGUAGGCGGUUUGUUGCGUCGGGAGUGAAAACCCAGGGCUUAACUUUGGGCUUGCUUUCGAUACGGGCAGACUUGAGGCAUUGAGGGGAGAACGGAAUUCCUGGUGUAGCGGUGAAAUGCGCAGAUAUCAGGAGGAACACCGGUGGCGAAGGCGACUGACUGGACAAGUAUUGACGCUGAGGUGCGAAAGCGUGGGGAGCAAACAGGAUUAGAUACCCCAGUAGUCCCUGUCUCUUAUAU
This 301-nucleotide ribosomal RNA is filed under the name uncultured bacterium. RNAcentral describes it as "partial 16S ribosomal RNA". It matches the Rfam family "Bacterial small subunit ribosomal RNA", at positions 509 to 809 of the family's 1533-position model. The record is from RNAcentral.